This is a long non-coding RNA of Leopardus geoffroyi (Geoffroy's cat), 638 nucleotides long. RefSeq lists it as uncharacterized. The record is from RefSeq and is a predicted model, not a curated record. Lineage: Eukaryota; Metazoa; Chordata; Mammalia; Carnivora; Felidae. The transcript has 2 exons.
CAGGACUUGCCUCCUCCUCUGUCGCAUCACCUGGGGUGACCCUUCGCCUUGGGAAUGGCUGUUGGGACGGGUUCCCAGGUUCGACCCUGCUCCCCGGCCUCGUGCUUCACUCGUGUUGCCUGGUUUCCCAGCCAUGCCUCCCUUGCCUCCCCAGAUGCCCAUCGCCCAGGAAACCAACCCCCUGCACAAAUUCCUCUUCGUUAGGAUAACUGGUGUUGCUUCUUAUUCCUGGCUGGAGCUUGACUGAUAAAGGGGCCAGAGAGAACUUUCCUGAAGUCACCAACCACGUUUUAUUUGGCUCCAUUUGCAAGCACUCAGCACAAUCCCAGCAGGUGACAGUGCCCAAACAAGGAAUCUUCCAUCCCUGGAAGGCAGGAAAUAUACCCCAAAAAGAGGACUCUGGUGCCUACUAUGUGUUCAGUUAAUGAACAAGUAAAUGAACUGAUCAAGUAAGACCAACUCAGAACGGACAGAGGCGUAGAGACCUUCACCUGCUGCCUUGUUCACCUGCUGCCUUCACCUGUCACCUUCACCACCUGCUGCCUUCACCUGCCGCUGUUGCCUACUGCUCGCUUGACAGUAGGUGAGCCUUUGGGCCAGGUCACUUGUGAUGCAAAUAAACUCUAAUUGCACCCCAA